This 1432-nucleotide ribosomal RNA is filed under the name Limosilactobacillus fermentum. RNAcentral describes it as "bacterial SSU rRNA". It matches the Rfam family "Bacterial small subunit ribosomal RNA". Lineage: Bacteria; Bacillati; Bacillota; Bacilli; Lactobacillales; Lactobacillaceae. The record is from RNAcentral.
ACGCGUUGGCCCAAUUGAUUGAUGGUGCUUGCACCUGAUUGAUUUUGGUCGCCAACGAGUGGCGGACGGGUGAGUAACACGUAGGUAACCUGCCCAGAAGCGGGGGACAACAUUUGGAAACAGAUGCUAAUACCGCAUAACAGCGUUGUUCGCAUGAACAACGCUUAAAAGAUGGCUUCUCGCUAUCACUUCUGGAUGGACCUGCGGUGCAUUAGCUUGUUGGUGGGGUAACGGCCUACCAAGGCGAUGAUGCAUAGCCGAGUUGAGAGACUGAUCGGCCACAAUGGGACUGAGACACGGCCCAUACUCCUACGGGAGGCAGCAGUAGGGAAUCUUCCACAAUGGGCGCAAGCCUGAUGGAGCAACACCGCGUGAGUGAAGAAGGGUUUCGGCUCGUAAAGCUCUGUUGUUAAAGAAGAACACGUAUGAGAGUAACUGUUCAUACGUUGACGGUAUUUAACCAGAAAGUCACGGCUAACUACGUGCCAGCAGCCGCGGUAAUACGUAGGUGGCAAGCGUUAUCCGGAUUUAUUGGGCGUAAAGAGAGUGCAGGCGGUUUUCUAAGUCUGAUGUGAAAGCCUUCGGCUUAACCGGAGAAGUGCAUCGGAAACUGGAUAACUUGAGUGCAGAAGAGGGUAGUGGAACUCCAUGUGUAGCGGUGGAAUGCGUAGAUAUAUGGAAGAACACCAGUGGCGAAGGCGGCUACCUGGUCUGCAACUGACGCUGAGACUCGAAAGCAUGGGUAGCGAACAGGAUUAGAUACCCUGGUAGUCCAUGCCGUAAACGAUGAGUGCUAGGUGUUGGAGGGUUUCCGCCCUUCAGUGCCGGAGCUAACGCAUUAAGCACUCCGCCUGGGGAGUACGACCGCAAGGUUGAAACUCAAAGGAAUUGACGGGGGCCCGCACAAGCGGUGGAGCAUGUGGUUUAAUUCGAAGCUACGCGAAGAACCUUACCAGGUCUUGACAUCUUGCGCCAACCCUAGAGAUAGGGCGUUUCCUUCGGGAACGCAAUGACAGGUGGUGCAUGGUCGUCGUCAGCUCGUGUCGUGAGAUGUUGGGUUAAGUCCCGCAACGAGCGCAACCCUUGUUACUAGUUGCCAGCAUUAAGUUGGGCACUCUAGUGAGACUGCCGGUGACAAACCGGAGGAAGGUGGGGACGACGUCAGAUCAUCAUGCCCCUUAUGACCUGGGCUACACACGUGCUACAAUGGACGGUACAACGAGUCGCGAACUCGCGAGGGCAAGCAAAUCUCUUAAAACCGUUCUCAGUUCGGACUGCAGGCUGCAACUCGCCUGCACGAAGUCGGAAUCGCUAGUAAUCGCGGAUCAGCAUGCCGCGGUGAAUACGUUCCCGGGCCUUGUACACACCGCCCGUCACACCAUGAGAGUUUGUAACACCCAAAGUCGGUGGGGUAACCUUUUAGGAGCCAGCC